RNAcentral lists this ribosomal RNA (497 nucleotides) under uncultured bacterium. RNAcentral describes it as "partial 16S ribosomal RNA". It matches the Rfam family "Bacterial small subunit ribosomal RNA", at positions 28 to 507 of the family's 1533-position model. The record is from RNAcentral.
GAUGAACGCUGGCGGCGUGCCUAAUACAUGCAAGUCGAGCGAACGGGCGAGAAGCUUGCUUCUCUGAUGUUAGCGGCGGACGGGUGAGUAACACGUGGAUAACCUACCUAUAAGACUGGGAUAACUUCGGGAAACCGGAGCUAAUACCGGAUGAUAUUUCGAACCGCAUGGUUCAAAAGUGAAAGACGGUCUUGCUGUCACUUAUAGAUGGAUCCGCGCUGCAUUAGCUAGUUGGUAAGGUAACGGCUUACCAAGGCAACGAUGCAUAGCCGACCUGAGAGGGUGAUCGGCCACACUGGAACUGAGACACGGUCCAGACUCCUACGGGAGGCAGCAGUAGGGAAUCUUCCGCAAUGGGCGAAAGCCUGACGGAGCAACGCCGCGUGAGUGAUGAAGGUCUUCGGAUCGUAAAACUCUGUUAUUAGGGAAGAACAUAUGUGUAAGUAACUGUGCACAUCUUGACGGUACCUAAUCAGAAAGCCACGGCUAACUACGUG